This 1349-nucleotide long non-coding RNA is filed under the name Meleagris gallopavo (turkey). RNAcentral describes it as "lncRNA (ENSMGAG00000018518.1)". The record is from RNAcentral. Lineage: Eukaryota; Metazoa; Chordata; Aves; Galliformes; Phasianidae.
AGUCAGAACAAUAAUUGCACAUAGAAAAAUAACUAUCAGAAACAGUUUCUAGGUAAAUCCCAGCCAUUGCACUGUUGUCUUGAAUUUGCAUUGCUGGGAAUAUCUCCCCAUGUGCACAGGACAACUGACUCUGAUUGAGGGACAUUAGUCUACCAGCAAACAUACCUUUAUUUUCCUCAUAUAACCAAGACUUCUCCAUAGGGCCCUUAAAAACAGCUGUUAAUUGGCUCCUGUAACAAAGCGUACAGUUGGACCACCAGAACCAAAAGUAUCUUUAAAUACCCUUCCUCACAUUUUGGUGUUUUGUUCAGUUAGGCUUUGUGUGAAAAAUGCAAAAUGAAUGUAUAGAAUGAUUCACUUUUUUCCUACAUUUGGUUGGUUUUCUCUAAACCAUGUGCUAUUUUUUCUGUUCUCUCCCCAGAGGACCGCAAGGAAUGGAAAUUGUUCUGCAUUUUUAGUGUUGGAUUCAUUUUUGUAUUCCAUAUCAACACAAACCAGACUGCUGCCGUUGCCAAUUCUACCUAUUUUGCUUUUUCUUCUUGCUUGGAACUACUUUGGGAGGGCAGCUUCCUGCAGCCAUCUGAAGAUUUUUGACUCACUAUUCCCUAAAACUGGGAGGGGUAGAGGAGGAAGGAAUAACGCAUUUCAGUUGAUUGGUAAGUUUUGCCAUAUUUCAGCGAUGUGAUAAGGUUUGCUCUCCCUCUCUUCUGUGUUGCCACUUAAUCAUUUCUUCAGUUAGUUAAAUUAAUACAGACUUCUCCCAGUCUGAGAACUACACUGAGAUGUUACUAGAAACUAAUAGCUGAGAAUCUGCUGCUGACUCAGUGGUUCAAGCACACUAUUAAUCAAUCCAUAACCAGUAUGGCAUUGCAGACUGGACAAAUCUCCAAAAUUCUUCUUGCAGGAAGACCCUUCUGAGGGGCCCACAAACUUUAGCAAUGACUAAAUGCCAUUCUCUGCAUUUAUAUUUCAUAUUUUGGCUGUCUAUGCUAUCCUGCAAUAGCUCUUUCUGUUUAAAAGUAAUCAUAAAUUCUUCAUAUUGUUGCUAUGUGUAUGGACUGAAUGUCACAUGGGAAAGGACUACAUUUCAUGGAUGAAUUAGCCAACAUUUCUGUUUGCUGUAGUGCCUUGUUUGCUGAUCUGAAGGGCAGUAAUUUUAGGCAGAAAUAGGAACUGGAAAAGCGACACAACUGACAUACAGUGACUGGAAACAAGGGCAAACAAGCGAAAUAGAGACAUAAAUGACCUGGUGAGGAGGACAUCUGCAGAAGCUAGGAAAAGACUACUUUACUGGCCAGCUUAUUAAACACCGCUGCAGAAACAGGCUGGUUUCUGCUUCUGGAUCACAG